UACUUGUUUUCUUAGUGGAUUGGGGUGAUGGACGAUGUCUGGAUCUUUCUAUAGGGAUUGUCUGUAGCUGCAUGAAUUCUGCGAAGAUCUGGUUUAUGAUAUUUUUAUCCGAGGAUGCGAUGAAUGUCCAGUUCUCUUCCUGUUGUAGGUUGGAGUCUUUUUGUUGCAAAUUAUGCUGAAUUUGACCUGGUUUGUGUUGUAGCGUAUCAACCCAUCUUAACUAACUUUUAGGGGAAUGAUUUGACUUUGGCAAGCUUUUACUUUUUGCUUCUCAUGGGGGUAUUGUUGGUGUAAAUGGUUUAUUUUGGGUGCUGGUUCAAGUCUCUCUCUUCGAUGAUGCCGUGUUCUCAUCUUGCAUUGCGAACUUCAGUGGAUAAAUGUAAAUUAUUACAAUUGAGUCUUGUGUCCAAGGCUAAGUCCUGUUGUUGCUUAGCUCGGUCAUUUGGGGCUUUUACUUUUUGCUUCUUCUGGAUGUAUUUUUGGUAUAAAUGGUUUAUUUUGGGUAGUAGUCCCAUUCGUUCUCUUCGAUGAUGUCAUGCUCUCAUCUUUUUCUGUGACCUUCACUGGAUAAAACUACAACUGAGCCCUAUUUCAAAGCUAAGCCAAGUUCCUUUGCUUGGUCAUUUGAUGGCACACAUUGAUGGCAGUGUUUGACUUAUCGGAUACUUCUGUCUUAUUCUAGUGAGAUGGGAGACUGAUUGCAGAUAUUCGCUAAAAUCACAACAGAUUAUCCGUUUCUACUUUCAAUUGGUUUGGUGCAUUCCAUAAUAGCUCUGUCCGGAUUCUCUUUUUGAAUAUCUAAUUGAUGUGAAUUUGCCUGGCAAUUACUCUUAUACUGCUUGUGUGUUGGAAUCGGAAGUUACUUGGCCAGGAGCUCGCCCGAUCCCUCUAGCACGGAUUUACCCCUCAAUUCUCUUUGAAACUAAUGUUCUAUUAUCAUCAUUUUUCUGAGGAAGCUGGCUCUAGUUUUUUAAACCAGAGCCACGCCUCAAAGAUGACUCAUCAUGGGCGUACCUCAGCAUGCGUCUCAAGUGACAUUCAGAAUUAGCAGCCCACCACCUUUCCUUAAUUUACCGUCAGCAAAUGAUACCUGUCCAAAUCACGACUCUCCUUGGGAUUUAUUAUUAUCAACAGUCAAUCCAAAGUUGGUGGAUCUUUCCCUAUAAAUAACCGUCCUUUUUCGGUCUGAUUUUGUGAAGCAUCUGGUUGCAGACCCCCUGCUGCGGAGACUCUGGAGGGUUUCACUUGGCCUGCUAUGCCUAUGGUUAUCGAAAUUAAUUCGGUCUACGCCUCAUCCUCAAUCGAUCUUUCUGUUACUGUUUUAGCAGCUUCUGGAUUCUUGUUAUUUGGUAAAUUGGCAGUGGCUUCUUUCCUCUUGGAUCAUCACUUUUGUCUGAGGAUGUCGUUGUGGGAACUGGGAAGUGUUCAGCUCCUCCUCUGAUCUUUUAUUGAUCGAUUGUCUGAUAGAUCUAUCCGUUUAAUCGUUUUACGAGCUGUUUCUUUCCCCUUGGAGUGAAACAGUUUGUCUGAGGAUGUCAGGGACAAUGAAUACAGGAACACCAGUCUUGUUUCGUGAAACUAGGUGCUUGGGCUUUUGGAGGAUUGAUGAUACUUUUGCUGUCUUUUUUCUGGUUGAGACAAUGACCAAGUAGUCUUUGAUCACAUCUUAGAGCUGGUGAUAGACUGAUGAAAUUUACUGGUUUUGAUGGGAAUUUGUUCUUCAGCAUUUUUUAUCUUGGGGAGUUGAUUAUCAUCUAGUCUUGAUUCUCUCACAGGUUGGAGUUUUGCUAGACUUGACAAGUGGUCUUCUGCUGCGAGCUGAUAAUUAUCUGAAAUUGGAUAAGCUCUAUUGUCUCUCGAGGCAGUUAUCGGUUUGAAUGAAAUUUGUUCUCCAGUCUCAUAAUUUUCCAAUUGAUGUGAAAACCGACUCUCAUUCCUUUGGAGGUUGAAAGCAGGUGUCUCCUUCCUAGAAAUAGUCCCUCCCUCGGGUCCUCAUCCUUCAGUCUUAUCAGGCAUCUAUGAUUGUGCAUGCGUUCCUCACUCAGCUGACCCCCUUUGCGAAGUACUCUUCAGAGGAGACAUCGUUCCCAAAAGCGCACUUGAUCCUUCUUCUAUUCUUUUUGUCUCUUCAUUGAUUGUUAAAUCGGUCUGAUUCUGUUUAUGCUAUGUUUGUUUUCCAAAGGUCAAGCCUCUCCUCCCCAGGACUCUGUCAUGUUGUGGGCAUCGUUAGGGUUUGCGCUCCUCUAAUCAUUGAUUGAACCAAGUUCAAUUGUAUAAUGAGCUGUUUCCGGUAUUUACAAUUCCGUGAAUUGGCAUGGUUUCUUUCUUCUUGGAGCAAUUGUUUUCUCUGAGGAUGAUGUGCAACUGAUCAGUUGGUUACAUAGAAUACGACAUUUGGGCUUUUUGGAGGACUAAUGAUCUAUUCUUGCACUGUUUGGUUGAGCUGAUGAUCUAGAAGUCUAUCUUUAGGACAAGCGAUGGACUGAAAUUUUGACCUUCUAGGCUUCUUUUACAGGUUGAAAGUCUGUCGCAUUUUCUUUGGGGCUGAGUUGCUAAUUGUUUGAAAGUAGAUGAGCUCAUGCUUCUUGGAUUUUAGGCCAUCAUUGGUUUGAAUGGAACUUGGUCCGUUACUUCUUUUAUUUUCUAGUUAAUUUGGAAGAUCAGAUCUAGUUCUCUUACCUUUGCAGAUCAGAGUUUGGUCGAGGCAAUACUUUACCUGGCCAAGUUCGAUAUGGAGUGUCUGGGAUCAGUGAUGUUCUUUCUUGCUGCAUAUGCAUCAAUUCCUAAUCUGUUUUCUGCUUCCCUUAUCUUCUAGUCAAGGGGAACGAUCAGAUGUUCUCUUUCCUUCGCAGGUCAGAGUUCAGUCAAGGCAACACUUUGCCUCAUCAAUUUCAAUAUGGAGUGUCUGUGAUUAGUAAUGGUUCGUUCUUGCUGCAUAAGUAUCAAUUCCUUGGACAAGCAGAGUUCUUUCUUAUCUGGAAAGAUCCACACAAGUUCUAGCUUGUUUCUCUUUAUUCUUAUCUGUGUGCUACGAUCCCUAAAUGGAUCUCUCUGGUAAAUCGCAGAGAUAACAUAUGUGAGAGUCAUACGCCCUGCUCUUUUUCUAUCCUGGAACUGGGUCCAGGCAUUACCUAGUUUGCUUGACCUUUCUUCUUACAUGACUUUUUAUGUUUUCUUUUGGUACAGAACAAGAGCUGAUUUCUUGUGUUCUUUUGGUGCCAGAGGUUGUUUGAGUUGGUUGGACUCUGUUAAUGGCCAUAUAAAUGUCUACAUUGUAGGUUUUCUUUGGUUAUUGGGACUGUGAAGGGUUAUUGCAGACAGAAUUGGUUUUAAUUCGGUGCAUACUGGUGGUGUCUUAUUUGGAAUGAUGUACUUUAGACAUCUAUUACGAUUCGCAUUAUUAAUCUAUCUUAUCCUUUUCUAUUUCGUAACAGCUGAUGAGCCGAUUACUUUCUCGAUCUAAUUUCUGAAACAUCUGGCUUGUUGCUGAAGCUUGAUUUCUUCUCUUCGCGUUGCCUCUUUGGGACUUGGCCAUGGUCAUCAACAUCAUUAGGUUUAUUGUCGUCCUUUGACAAUUUAUUAAUUGAUUGGUUAGUCAUCCUAUUUAGUUGUUUUAUGAGCAGAUUCUGGAUCCAUUAUUUUGUGGAUUGGAAGUACCUUCUUCUCUGAUGGACCAAUCUCUACUUCUGAGGAUGUCAUGUAAGGAGCAGUAAAGAUGAUGAGUGUGGUCGAUUAUUGCAUACAUUAAAGUGUUGAAGCUUUUUUUGGGACUGACAAUUUCUUUGCAGUAUAAUGUUGGGUUGGUGGACUAGGAGCACGGGGUGAUGAACUGAAAUUUUUAAUAAUUUCCUGCAUGGACACUUAUGUUUCCUUUUUAAAUUCAUUCUUUCGUUGAUUAUUUUUUAGUAGUGGCAAGAAUUGAGAUAAUCGUCUAGUUCUAAUUGCUUUAGGUUGAAGGUUUUUCUGAAUUUGAGAAGCGCUGAUCCUUUGCCUUUUUUGCAAGGCUGAGACCAGGUUUUGUUUGAAAUUGGAUAAGCGCUCAUUUAUUGAAUUCUGGACAGUAAAUGGUUCCAAUAUUAUUGACUCUGGUUUCUUUAUUUUUUAUUUAAGCAAGGGGGUCCCUAUUCAGUUCUCUUUCUUUCGUAGGUCAGAAAUUGGUGAAGCAAAGACCUUACCCCUUAUUUAAAUAUGGGGCAUUCUUUAAUCUGUGAUGGUUCUUUAUAGUUGGAUAUUAGAGGAAUGGUUUGAUUGGACUAGAUCCUUAAUUCUUUAUAGUUGGAUAUUAGAGGAAUGGUUUAGAUGAUUCCACUUGUUGGUAAAACUAAGUUGUCCUAAUGAUAUUCCGUCCAAUUCUAGCUCUUUCUUUGCCAUAGAAACCAGGAAAGAGGAUCCUUGUGCUCAUACUAGGAGAAGGAAAUCCUCAUAAAGAUGUAUUUCCUUCGCCAGAUUAAAUGUAAUUAGCUUUUUCCCCUCUCCAAGUUGAUGAAGAGGAAUGCCGCUGCAAGCAUUUUACGUAUAGAUCAAUUUCCCUUUCACUUUUCCCUUACGAUUGUCGAUUUGUAAGGGUGGCUGGCUUAUUGUUAUUAGCAUUUACCUCAGUAAUGAAUGGUCCUCGAAAUAGCGUAUACCAGGUGAUCUUCACGAGUUUUGAUACCUCAUCUUGCAUGUGUUAAGCUUUUAGCUAGCGUUCCAUCUGAACCAAGAUCAAACUCUUCUUUUGACUAUGAUUGGGCCCUACAGAGGUUCAGGUUCGGUGAACCGGCCGUAUUACUUUCCAACCUUCUAUAUGUGGGCCUUCCUUCUUCUUCUUUUUUUAUGAGACAAAUCAAAUUGAUGGCAAUGGAAAAAACAGGACGUGCCCUUUUAUUAAUAGUACUCGUCACUAAAAAUGCUUUCUCUCA
Long non-coding RNA from Eucalyptus grandis, 4901 nucleotides. RefSeq lists it as uncharacterized. The record is from RefSeq and is a predicted model, not a curated record. The transcript is spliced from 2 exons. NCBI's taxonomy places the organism in Eukaryota, Viridiplantae, Streptophyta, Magnoliopsida, Myrtales, Myrtaceae.